AGUGAACGCUGGCGGUAGGCCUAACACAUGCAAGUCGAACGGCAGCACAGUAAGAGUUUGCUCUUACGGGUGGCGAGUGGCGGACGGGUGAGGAAUACAUCGGAAUCUACUUUUUCGUGGGGGAUCACGUAGGGAAACUUACGCUAAUACCGCAUACGACCUACGGGUGAAAGCAGGGGAUCUUCGGACCUUGCGCGGUUGAAUGAGCCGAUGUCGGAUUAGCUAGUUGGCGGGGUAAAGGCCCACCAAGGCGACGAUCCGUAGCUGGUCUGAGAGGAUGAUCAGCCACACUGGAACUGCGACACGGUCCAGACUCCUACGAGAGGCAGCAGUGGGGAAUAUUGGACAACGGGCGCAAGCCUGAUCCAGCCAUACCGCGUGGGUGAAGAAGGCCCUCGGGUUGUAAAGACCUCUUGUUGGGAAAGAAAAGCAGCAGCUUAAUACCAAGCUGUACUGACGGUACCCAAAGAAUAAGCACCGGCUAACUUCGUG
Molecule: ribosomal RNA, 492 nt
Filed under: uncultured bacterium
Lineage: Bacteria
Description: partial 16S ribosomal RNA
Rfam family: Bacterial small subunit ribosomal RNA
Source: RNAcentral